GGAGGUGGACGGAGGAUCGCCGGCGGGCAAUCACCGCCCGCGGGAGGAAAGUCCGGGCUCCACAGGGCGGGGAGGUCGCUAACGGCGACCCGGGGCGACCCGAGGGAAAGUGCCGCAGAAACCACACCGCCGAUGGCCCCGGACGGGGCACAGGCAAGGGUGAAAUCGUGGGGUAAGAGCCCACGCGCGACAGCCGGGCGACCGGCGGCGGGGCAAACCCCUCCCGGAGCAAGCUCGAAUAGGGAUGCCGCCUGGGGUGGCCCGCCCCAGCGCCCGCCGCAAGGCGCGGCCCGGCUUCCGGGUGAGAGUGCUGGAGCCCGUCAGCAAUGGCGGGCCUAGAUGAAUGAUCCUCGCCGGCGCAAGCGCAAGCGAACGCCGGAACAGGACCCGGCUUACAGUCCACCUCCGGCU
This 411-nucleotide RNase P RNA is filed under the name Deltaproteobacteria bacterium. RNAcentral's name for it is "RNase P RNA component class A". It matches the Rfam family "Bacterial RNase P class A". Rfam says of the family: Ribonuclease P (RNase P) is a ubiquitous endoribonuclease, found in archaea, bacteria and eukarya as well as chloroplasts and mitochondria. Its best characterised activity is the generation of mature 5'-ends of tRNAs by cleaving the 5'-leader elements of precursor-tRNAs. Cellular RNase Ps are ribonucleoproteins. Lineage: Bacteria; Pseudomonadati; Myxococcota; Myxococcia. The record is from RNAcentral.